This 253-nucleotide ribosomal RNA is filed under the name uncultured bacterium. Its description in RNAcentral is "partial 16S ribosomal RNA". It matches the Rfam family "Bacterial small subunit ribosomal RNA", at positions 524 to 776 of the family's 1533-position model. The record is from RNAcentral.
GACGAACCGUGCAAACGUUGUUCGGAAUCACUGGGCAUAAAGGGCGCGUAGGCGGCUUAUCAAGUCAGGGGUGAAAUCCGGCAGCUCAACUGUCGAAGUGCCUUUGAUACUGAUGAGCUCGAGGGAGGUAGGGGUCUGUGGAACUUCUGGUGGAGCGGUGAAAUGCGUUGAUAUCAGAAGGAACGCCGGUGGCGAAAGCGACGGACUGGAUCUCUUCUGACGCUGAGGAGCGAAAGCGUGGGGAGCGAACAGG